CUUUCUUCAUCCUCAUCUUUUAUUCCUUUAAACUCUCAACACUGCCUCCUUUCUUCUCCCUCACGGUUCAGUAGCAGCCGGUUCUUGUCCUCCCUCCACCGUCAACGGAGCUGCUGCACCACCUUUGCCGCCACUUCAGUCACCACUUCCUCACCUCUUUGGUUUUGGUUUAUUGAAGAAUCAAGUUAGGGUUUCUGAUUUGGGAAAAGUUAGUGAAUUGAAGUUCAAGAUUGAAAGUUGAAAGGUCCUUCAAUGGUGAUUGAGGUCUAUCUCUUACAGGGGGUAGAUCCACUUUCAGGUUGCCAUUUUUAGUGUGGAUGGAUGUGCUGCUCAUUUAUGUGUCAUGUGUUGCGAUAGCGAGGACAUCGUUUCCGGAAGGUUAACUUAUAAUGAUAUUUUGACAAAUCAUGUUUUUUAAAAUAAAAAAAUAGAUAUUUUAUAAUGUAUUAACUUAGUUUAUAACUGGGUUGUAAGUAAUUGUAUUACAGUUUUGUAAAGUUUUUAAAUACUCUGAUAUUGGUUGCUGUGGCUAUCGAGCCACAGGUCGGAUUCAGCCCAGACUUCUAUAAGUCUUCCGCUGUGCUUUGUAGACAAUAUUAUUAUAUUGUUUACGCCGGUUUGGGCUGUUUCAUAACCCACAAACCCAAGAACACCUUCCUCCUUCACGACAUUCCCUCUAAAAUGGUCGAAAUCCUUGCUUAAGUUCUUCAAAAGAUGAACAACCUUCUUUCUCAUUCAAUUCGCUAAUUUUCGAGUGCAACCAUGUAAUCUUGAUCUGAAAUUUUUAAAGAAUUCAGCCCUAAUGUAGCCUUCUUUGAAGCUUUACUUCGAAAAAUAACAACGGCAGGACUCACACCUUCUCCUUCCCUCUGAGUUUUGAAGGAUCUAUGUUGCGAAAUCAGUUGAUUCUUUCUCUUUGCGAUAUUUUUUUUAAGAAGCAUCCAAAAACUUCCUUUCUUAACCUGAAUUCUGCCGAUUUGAGGAAGGAUUGAAUGAGUUUUUGGUCCUGUUGAAUAAACAUCAAAUCCAAGCCGAAAAUAAAGCUUUGAACAUGAAUUUUUCGGUUUCUUGCUGCUGCAAACAGAAGUUUGUCUACAAAUCGGAACCAGACGGGAAUAAUGAAUUAGCGGAGGUGAUUAGUGGUUCCAAGGAUGUAUAUGGAGCUGAGUACUUAGGAAUUAUAGAUUUGUAUUAGGAAUUUUGGAUAAAUGUAAAUUUGUUUUGGCUGUGCUGGUUAUAUCGGACUUAUAGAGAAUUGUAUGAUUAUCUUGUGUAUUAGUUAGAUGUUGGUUUUGGGAUUUAGCUUAAUUAGUCACGUUGAAGAGCUUGUGACCCCUUUUGCUUGAGUUUUGGAAGUGUGAUUUCGGUUUCUUGGGAAACGAACCCAGUGAUGACCCUGUUUACCCAGUCAACGGUAAGUCGGGUUGUUACACUAACUGCGAACACCAUCGAGGAUAAUGAGUUUGUUAGUGACUGCGAACAGGGUCAAAAAAGUCAACAACCCUUCUAUGCCUUUUUAAAAAAUUAAGCACUUGUUCGCAGUUACUAACUGCGAAUAGAACCAAACCUCAGAUUUGAAAAUUAGACGUUUAUGAAAUAAGUUGAUUUGCAUUUUAUUCCGUGCCUUUUUUUAUAAAUUACCCUAUCUAUUUCAAUAAUUCAUGAACAGUAGGCCAACUGAGAGGAGGAGGAUUUGGGCUGCGUGAAGAAAAGUGGAGAGACUGUGGGCUGCAAGGAAGGUUUGGAUUGCGUGAGGCUGGCCUAAAAGGGAAAAUUGGAAAAACAUAAGUGAAAAAAUUUAAAAAAAAUAACAAAAUAAACUAAGAAUCAAACUUAUUCCAAAAGUAAGUGUGAAUUUCCCAAACCUGAGGUUUGGGGCUGUUCGCAGUUAGUAACUGCGAACAGGUCAAAAAAGACAAAAUAG
Amaranthus tricolor (Joseph's coat) is the source of this 1924-nucleotide long non-coding RNA. RefSeq lists it as uncharacterized. The transcript has 4 exons. NCBI's taxonomy places the organism in Eukaryota, Viridiplantae, Streptophyta, Magnoliopsida, Caryophyllales, Amaranthaceae. The record is from RefSeq and is a predicted model, not a curated record.